Long non-coding RNA from Lagopus muta (rock ptarmigan), 11216 nucleotides. RefSeq lists it as uncharacterized. The transcript is spliced from 4 exons. NCBI's taxonomy places the organism in Eukaryota, Metazoa, Chordata, Aves, Galliformes, Phasianidae. The record is from RefSeq and is a predicted model, not a curated record.
UGGGGAUCCCGAUGCUCCUCCUGCUCCCGCGGCUCCUCUCCUCCUCACCUCCGCCUUCUCCACCUCCGCCUCGCAUCGCUGGCCUCAGCCGCCGCCGACCAGCGCAGCCCUCCUGGUGCUCCCUGCAGCUCUGGGCCUGGAGAAGUGGAAGAUGUCCCCCGCACAGCCUGGUUUUCAGCAUCCCCGUGUCCUCUUUCCCUUUUUGAAGCCAGAACUUCAGGGUCAGACCCUUUGUACAUCAUCAAUUUCAUCCUGACUCUUUCCAGCAGCCCCUGAGCUCGCUGCUUUGUUUAUGCUAGUGUCCAGAAACAACUCCUGCUUUCCUGGUCUGCUGAACUUCUAAACAAUCCUUGCUUUGGAUCCAAUAAUACAAGGGGCAGCUGCUCUGCCAGCGGCAGUCCUAAUCCAAGUGGGUAAAAAAGGCUGCUUAAAAAAAAGGGCUGUAGGCUUGCUUGAGCAGCCUGCAGCAUGCCCAGCAGUAAUGCCUUCAUUUAGAGCAGCCUUGCAGUGUCUCCAGGCUUUCGCAGUGUUUGUGUGGAAGAAAGCUGAAGAAACCAUUUCUGAAUCUCAAUCACUUUGCUGAGACCAAAGAGCAUGUAUGUUUUGGGAAUGGGCAGCAUACAAAUUGCAGUCAUUUGCAUGCUGAUUGCUAUCUUGAUACAACGGAAUCUGUCCUAGAGCCCUUGGCUGACAGCUCAUGAAUCAACCGGGUGUGUUGUCACAGUGCAGUGUUUGAACAGAAGUAUUUCCAUUCCACGGUAUUUCCUAGCUGCUUUCUGAAAAUAGAAGAAAAGUAAGAAUACAGUCGCUGGGACUCCUUAUAAAAUCUCACUAGAUGAGUCCAGGGAUAUUCACCACUGGUCUUGGUGAAGCUUUCAUGCAUCCUUGAAAGGGAUUCAUUAAGCUGGAAAAGCUGGCUGGAAACCAGUCUUCCUAUAAUGUCUUCCAUAAUUUGCUUCAAGGGACACAUUUACAGUCACUCAGCCUUUUUUAUAGAUCUUGUGCAAGACGAAGGGCUGGGUCACAAUUGCAAGACUUUAAUGAAUAGAUGUUUCUUGCAUGCCACAACCAAAACAAUUUUUCAAGCAUCUCAGCACAGCGCUGUGUUUCAGUAUGGACUUUCCCAAGGAUGUGCGACAGGACCAUAGCUGCAACCUCUGCAUUCGCAACGACCGCUCUUUUCCAGCUGCUCCUUCUUCGAUUCCGAUCCAUUCACAUGCAGAAAGAAAACAUCCAGCAACCACGAUUUCUACUCCCCAUUUUUUUGUUCAAGGAGCUGAAGAUUUCAGCUAUUUCCUUUUUACCAUGUUACCCACUGUACAGGUUUGCACGGAAACAGAUUACAGUGUGAAGACUCGUUGAAUUAACAAAACAUCACUGAAACUUAUCUAUUAAGUAUAGCCAGAUCUCAGAAUGAUAUUCUGCUUGUCACAGGAGUGCUAAGAUCUGCUUCAUGAAGUCCAUUUAAUUUAUGAGAACGAUCUCUCAUCCACAUCCCACCGAACGCUACUGAUGGACUCGGCGAUUAGAGAUGGAACAAAACAGAGAUGGCUUUGGGGGCUUGGAUUUCAUUAGAAUUUUAAAACGGGGAAGUAGAUUUGCCCGCUGACCUUUGAUUAACAAAUACGAAUUCAGCCAGAAACGUUUUCUCUGAAGGUAGCCCAAUUAAGAACAGCUUCCUUCCGAGUUCCCCUUGUCUGUCUGUGAAAACUGGGCACGCUGGCACUGGGCUUUUUUUCUGGACAUUUUCCACCUGGUCACAAACAUUGGAAGUCCUGUCUUAGCAGGGUAAGCCAAGUAGCUGUUGCACAAAGAAACACUGAAUGCAUUUCUGUAUUGCAACAGAGACAGCCUUGAAUCACCAUAUUGAUAUACAAGGGAUCAGAUAGUAAACUUUUUAUUAGCAGCCAGGAAUUUCUUUUGAAAAUGAUUCUUUUUCUUUGACAUCCCUACAUAUGUGCUGAAGGAUGCUGGUACAGUUUCUUCCUAUCAAGACAGGAUAUAAUGUGUGACUGUGUUCUAGAAAAGUGUUACUUUUUUUUACAGAUUUAUAAUUUUUUAAUGUCAGAUCACCAUAAAGCUUUCAAGCAAUAGCUGCUGGCCAAAAUUACAUUAGGAAAGUGCACGUUAUGCUCCAUUUCCCUCCGGGAAGGGAGGUAAACACAGGCAAUCUGGACUGGGAGGGGCAGAGCAGAGGUAAGGAGGCUCUUGCUGAGUUUCUGCUGGCGGUCAGUACUCCCAUGUCUUCCCAAGAUGGCAAUACAAAAGGAGCAAUACAAAAUAGCAAAGAAAGGAUAUUGUAUUCUGCUGAAUACUAGCUACUCUAGGGACUGGGCAGCACUGUGUGGUCAUUGCAUCCUGAAAGGGGGGAAGGAGACAGCAUCCACAAAUGGGGGAACAAUAUUGAUGUUGUAUUAACACCACUGGCAGACAUAUGUGGUAGGCAGGGCUGGUGGAUGCUGUUCAUCAAGUGCGUGGAAAAGCAAUGUGCUGUAACACUCUCUGGCAUUUUGAAAUAGUUGUGAAGUCUGUGCAGCACAACCUGAAACUAUUAUUGUCUGAUUAGUCACAGUGCUGCUAAUUGCAACAGUCACUUUAUACCAAGGAAGCUAGUUUAAGGAAGCUUGGGAUAAAGACCACCUAAUUUAGGUCCCCAUUAGUCAUUGCAAUAGCUAAAAUUAGGUGACUGACUCCAGCAGGACAAGCCAAGUCACUCAUUAUACAAUUACUCUUCAUUUACAAGAGUGAAUCAAAAAGCCAUACUGCUUUCCUGGAUGGAGAAAAUGUUGGUGGGAUUUAACUACUGCUAAAUGCUGCAUUUGCAUUUGCUUCUCUCCCUGAAGCUCCAGCCCUUGCCCCAGGGCUGUCCUGCGGGAACUGCUGUCCUGAGUUUAUGGAAGCUCUUCUCUUUGGUGCCAAACCCAGCCGAGCUCACUCUGCUAAGAAAAAAGCAGAGGCACCAAGACGAGCAGAGCCCACUGUAUGCCUUUCCUGCUUCCUGAGCACGUGUCCAUAAGGCUGUGAAAGAGAUGGGAAGGGAUUUUGCCUUCAUCACAGUGUUUCUGUCAGCGUGUGUCAGAAUAUUCUGAGUCUGUCCUUGCAAUGAUCCAUCAAGUGUCUGGUAGGGCUUGGCCUAAGUCUAGGUUGUGGGAGAAUAGUUCCUGAAGGGAGAGUAGAAAGAGGACAGAGCCAGGCAGUCAGUGGUGCCCAGUUCUGGGACAGAGGCAGCAGGCACAAACGAGGCAGCACCACAGUGCUGUGUGGGUGAUGCACCCUGGCACAGGGACGCAGAGGCUGUAGGCUCUCCUCCUUCGAGAUGUCCAGGAGCUGCCAGGAUGUGGGGCUGGGCACUCUGCUCUUGGGUGGCCCUGGUGGGCCAGGGUGAGACCAGAGGCACCCAGAGCUCCUGCAGCCUCAACCAGUUGGGGUUCUGUGACUGGGAUUCCCUGAUUCCAUGAUACUGUGAUGCUGUGACCUCCAGGGCUUCCAGCUGACCAGAAGGUCCCCUUGGGGCUGACGAUGACAGCGGGCAGGCAGUGCUCCCUUUGGCACCCCUGAAUGGAGAUGCCUCAAUCCAGAGGAUCAGGAGCACAGAUUACACCAAGCACCUUCCUGAAGUACCAGUCAGUGCAUGAAUUGCUUCUGCCCACAGGCAGCACUGUGUAGCUCGGUGUCAGAAGGAAGCAGGGUCAGGUGUUUCCUUGUGUGCACUGAAGUAGUAUCUGCUGCCCAAGAUGCCAGCAGGGACAUCUGAGGUCACCCAGUUCAGCCUGCAGGCAAACAUGAUGUCAUCGCUGUCAGUGUGUGAGCAAACCCCCAUUCUAAAAGCAGUUCGUUCUGCUUUCUUUCCUUUUUCUCUCCACUUGUUUUGCUUUCCCAUCCUUCUGCAGCGGGGUUUUGUCCAAGCUUUCUUUUUCAUUUUUCAGCCUGUGUUUAUUCCAGGCCAGUUUUGCCUAUUACACUCUCAUGUCUAGUUUUUGUCUCCACAAUUUUCUUUCUGAUGGGUGGGAAGGAAGAUGGAGUCCACAAGAGAAAAUUCAAUAUCGCUGUUUUUGUGUGUAUGAAAUACUCAGCUCUUUGUGCUUGAUUAGACAAUUUUGAGAUGCGGGCAAAUGAGAAUUACAUUGGUCACAAAACAUUGAACUGACAACCUGAAGUAGCCAUUGGAAAGAAAACCCUUCUAAAGCACGAACUUUUUCUUUUAUUAAACAAUUUAUAAUUUGGUCAUACGGUACUCGAAGAUGCUUACAGCUGAAUUUUAAAGUGUGCUGAUUUCACUUAGUGUCACUUUACAUUUUAUGGGCUGGGAGAUCUGCAAAGCCUUUCACCAGGCAGAGAGAAGUGCCCCGGAUCCUCCUGGCUGUACCAGGGAAGCCUGAGCUCCUGCUGGAGCGUUGCUACCUGCAGCAUCCCUCACCAGCAACCCGGCGUCUUUGUGCUCUUCAUCUCCAUCACGUCAGCCUUGAGACAUGAUGUGAAUCCAGUUUUGUAAAGGAGGUGGAACAGAACAGCAUGGGCUUGGGACGACGGGAGUAGCGAAAUGUUCACUCACUGCGUGCAGGUGACUGUGGUUAGGAGGAAGUGUGAACAUUUGCUGGCUCGCCUGGCACAACAGAGCACUUUCAACAGCCUUCCCUUAUGAUACAUUUGAGGCAAUUUUAUUUGGAAUUUCAGUCCAAGAAACAUUUUAAGCUUGUUUCUUUUUUGAUCAAAUUAACACAUUGGUCCUUGGGACAUUCUGCUCAGUGCCUGUAAGACUGCUUCUUCUUCCUGCCCUUCCUCAGUGCUCAGCUCACAUCCACCAGCUAUACAACGUAAAAACUGGAUAGGUGUAUUUCAGCAUUACAAACACUAAUUCGCAAUGGCACAAAACCAAUUUGGAUUUGCACACAUGCAUCAGCAGCACUACCUAUAUUGAUCCACAAGAGCACGAAACCGAUGUGCAAAUAGGCGCGCGCUUCUGAAUUGUGAGCAGCCAUUCGGAGGUCUUGACUCAUGGUCCGCCCUCUGCAGCCAGCUCUGCAGGCUGACACUUAAGCGGUUCCGUCCGUGUGUCUGUGCCCUGGGCACACCGACAGCCUCUGCAGGCCCCCACCCACCCCAACCACUGUGGGUGCUGCCAGCUCCCUGCGCUGGGUGCAAUGUGGGUCCCAGGGUGGGGGCGCAGGAUGUGUUCCUCACCUUGUGUUAGCAGCUCCUGAGCAGGCACCUGAGCACCAGGGUAAUGCAUCUUCCUGCAUGGUAGUACUUCGUCACAGGCGAGCUCUUGUCAUCACCUCUGUUUCGCCAGAUGGAUGACUGUUUGGGGAUGGAAGGCUUUUUUCCCCUUUAGUUGGACCAAGACCAUCCAAUGGAGUGAGCAGCAGGAGGUUCUGAAAGAGAGAUACUGCUAGCACUGUUUCCACAUACCCACAGACUGAUCUUUAUGCAGCUGAGACUACAAGGGAUAUCCCUUAAAAUAAAGGGUAUCUUAUUACCCAUCUUCUCCAACUCCUGUGGAACGAAACAUCCCAAAAUUGAGAGAAGCUGCUGCACAAAGCUUCUUUAUAGAUCUCAGUGUGCCUCCUUUGCUGGCUCCAGCUGCCCCUAUGCUCUGUUUUUCCUCGGCCUUUUCUUCAAUAUUUUUUCCAGUUGACUUAGUUAUUACAGUACACGGACCAGAGCGAGGAAAAUACCCUGAAGGUGGGAGCUGGCAGAGCGGGGGGUGGCAAUGGAAGCGCUGUUGCCAUCCCAUGACAUCACCUACACGGCCAUUGGUGGCACUGCGGUGCGGGGAGGCACUGGCCGGCAUCCCCAGGCUCACUUCCGUGACACAGAACAGAGCCGGGGCCUGUCUGCUGCCAGCCCCUUUCAGUGCCAGCCUGCUGGCAGAGCUCGGGACGUUUGUAAAAACAGUACAGUACUUUAUUUAGCCUCUAGUGAGAAAAAGUCACUUCACAGCUCCGGUUUAGGCACAAGGCGCUAACAAGCAGAUUGGAAAAAAAAUAUAAUCCCUUGCAUAAAAACGUUUCAGAUGAAAAUUGAUUUGUAUGCCAGAUGACCUCGUGGAUCGGGAGAUUGAGCUGUGCCUUUUAUCUCCAAAGAAAUGGGUUCGGAUCCUGAUUAGCCCAUAGAGGAAAUUCCAUUUAGUGGUUUAAUUUUGGUGAGCUGAAAAGCUGUUCCCUGCCUAGAACCGCCAUCUAUUAUGGCGUGAUUGGCAGUCUGUGUUCAAGGCAGAACAAGAACGUCACCUCGGCUCUACUCCUAUUACUUCAUCCUGCCAUCAGCUCUCAGCACCUAACCUCCAUUUCCAAAGAGCCUAAGAAAGCAGGCAGGAUUCAAGGUGAAAGUGGAGUCGUGCAGCUGUGCCCGGACAGAGUGGAGGAGGCAAAUGGCUAAGAAAGACUGUGGAGGUGCCAAGGGGAGACCUGGAGAAUGGGACAAGGGGGCCUGGGAAAGCAAGAAGCACACUGAUGGAGCAAUGUUUCAUGAGGGAAAAUGGAAAGGGGAGGAGAAAGGGGAAAAAAGUAGGGAAUGAGGAUGGGCGGGCAAAGGAUGUCUAUGUGAAAGGUGGGAUGCAGGCGUAGCCAGAGCUGAAGGCAGUGAACCAAAAUGAGCAUAACUCCACCUAAAUGUCAGGUGUAAGAAGGAGGCUCUCAGGGUUGGCUCCUGGAACAUCUCACUGUGUCUGAAGGUUCUGGUUGGCAUAGACAUGUCCUGAGUCAUGGAAUCAUAGAGUGGCUUAGGUUGGAAGGGACCUUAAAGACCAUUCAGUUCCAACCUCCCUGCCAGGACUAGGCUGUCCCCAGCAGAUCAGGGCCCAGGGCUCCAUCCAACUGGCCUUGAGCACUACCAGGGAUGUGGCAUCCACAACAGUCCUCAGCUGGUGCUAAAUAUUUUGCAAUCAAGGUAUCUUAGCAUGGUUUUCCUAAGUCUUCAUUCCUUGGAGCGUGAACCACUUCUGCAGGGGAGCAGAGGAUAUGCAGGAUUGGUCAGCAGCCAGUUCACUUCUCCAUCAUGUCUUGGCAGGAAACAGAGUAAGAGAAGAGAAGAACUCCAGCCUAAUCAAUAGAGUAUCUCCACAUUGUUGGGUUAUAUUGCUACGACCAGCAUGAGCACGUUCCUGGUGGCCUGCUGGGCUUUCUCCACAGAUAUUAAAUGGAGGAAGGAAUUAGAAUUUUGCAUUGUGACACUAAUCAGCCUCGUGACCCUGUUUUGUGCAAUGUUGUGAGCAGAUAGAUAAGAAAAUAUUAUCACUCUAAGGUGGUUGCAGCAGUGGGUGAAAACCUCUCACUGGUGGGAAUGGAGGUUUUGCUGCUAGGAUGGCAUUUCAGCUUUCUUAGUCACCUCGGCUGUCACAGCAGUGAAUGUGCUCAUAAAAUAAUCUCCGUUUGGGUGGUCUUCCUUGGAACAAUAAAAUGUGCAUUUGGAAUGGCACUGAUAAUUGGAAAAAAUGCUAUAAAACCAGCAUGGUGAUGAAGUGCAAAGUACUGCAUUUUGGGAGGAGAAAUGCCAGAAGGGAUCUCCUGGUGGGGUUGGAGCUCCAGGUGGGCUGAAGGCUGAACACAAGGGCAGGGUGGGAUGUCCUUUUCUGGCUGCAGUUCUCCAGCAGCGAAAGCUGCUCUCCACAAUCCUGUUGCUUCAUCAUCUCCUCUCACCUGAGGCUUUGGCUUCUUCACACACCCCUCAGCCUUAGCAGGGUGUGUUAGAUGAAGGCGAGAAGAGACCUGCUGUCUGUACUGCUGACUGUCACAGAGGAGGGCUUGGCCGGCAACGGCGCUGGCUGACCUGGGAGGGGAGAGAAGGCAGCUGGGGGUGGUGAUAAGCAGCUGGAGCGGGCGAGAAGAAAUAAACUUUUCACCCAGCUCAGCUGCAGCCAGAACAGGAUGUGUGGCUGCAACCUAAGACAUAGGAGAUAAUUAUUCUACUCCACUUGGCACCGGUAAGGCCUCAGCUGGAAUACGGUGUCCAGUUCUGGGCACUGCACUGUAAGAAAAAUGUAGACAAACUGGAGAGAGUCCAGGAGAGAGACACUGGAAAUAUCAGAGGCACAGAAAGAACGACCUAGGAGGAAAUGUUGAAAGGAUUGUUUGUUUAGUCUGGGAACAGCAGAGUCUAAAGAAGUGAUGAUAAAAAUCUUGCAAUAAGUUAAAGUUUAUUGUAAGGAGGAGAGUGAUAGAUCUUUCCCCAUGGCUGCUGCAGGACAGGGAAAGAAGGAAGCAGCUUCAUUUGCAGCUAAGAAAACUGAGAUUAGGAGAAACUUUCUAGGAGGGCAAUGCACACAAGCUGCUAGGGAAUGCAUGGGUCUUGUUAAACUACAUAAUAACUACUAUGUGUUCUAUUUGAUUAACAAACAUUGGAAGAAUAAGGAUGGUUUUUUUGUUAGAAUGAUUAUUUUGGGCUAAAGCCUAGGACUGUAUUUCUACAUGUCCACAGCACAGUCAUGUGGGUGCACUUGCAAGAAAUAGCUCUUGGGCUUCAUGCUCGCUCUUCUUCAGCAUCAGUGUGCACAAAACGCAGCAUCUUGUGACUGAUCUCUUAUUGCAAGAUCUCUACAUAUUGUUGCAAUACAAAGAGGUCAUCGUGUAACCCAACAGUUUGUAUAAAAUCCUAUGAAUACAUGAAUAACUUCGCCUUAUGAUUCCAUUUUUGGCUGCACUGUAUUUUUUCCCUUGCAGGUUUGUAUCAGAUAUCUCUAAUCCCUUCUUUGUAGAUUUGCGGUAUGUGCACAGCUAGAGAUAUAUCCACUGAUAGCUGUUAAUCCUUUGAGUGCUUUUACAUUACACAGCAUAUGUCCAGUGAAAGUUCUGCUGUAUGGUUUAAGGAUACUCGCUGAUUCUCCAGCAACUGCAAACAGAAUACUGUGCCAUCCCAGGAAGUUCUCAGGCUGUGAAUUGGAUUUUCUUCUUCAGAAGAGACUCAAAGGACGUCCUAAUAUUUCCAAAAGUUCAGACUAAUGUGCCUUGCAAACUCAGGAAAGAAAUGGACUGAGGGUCAGGGAGGUUGGAUGUGGAGGUAGGAAGCCAGCACACUAAGGUCCCACACAGCGUCUUGGACUCAUUGGUGAUGUUGCAGAGGUCAAAAUCUAUGGCUGUAGCUGGCCAAAACAUUUCUUGAGACUUAUGACAGAAUAUGGACUUUUUUCUCGUGAAAUAGAAUCUAUUAGGGAAUGUAUUUGAGCGCACUUUCAACUCUUAGUCUCCUUGGAUUCUGAAGUGUAGCUUUAGAUAGGAGUGUUUUGGAUUUUCUGCUGUUCGGUUUUGGUUUAGUCACAAAAUGUUAAAGGUGUUUUAUUAGCUCCCAGUGUAUGUACCCAGCCUUCAUUCCAUCUGCACAACAACACUAACAAAAAACAUGAGGUAAGGAAUACAACGAGGUCAUGGAUACUUUCAACAUUUUGAAGAUGAACAGCAUUAAGCCUAUAUCACCUUUGAAGUGUAUACUCAGUGGAGCACUAGAGCAGUACAAACCAGUAAAACAAAACAGCCAGUUAAGCGAGGUUACAGCUGCUUUGCUUUCCACAAAAGCACAAAGCACCCACAGGGUAUUCAUUAUCAUAUGAAUUAUUUUUUGUGGUUCUUCAUGGAAGGUAGGUGUCAAAGGCAUCUAUUGUGAAGAACUGGGACAUGGUCAGCCUUGCCUAUUGAAAUGAGGUGGGAGAGAAAACCAUAUCUCAUCUACUUCUCUUGGUUGCUUUGCAGGGCACUGGGGUGCUCCCACAUCUUCCUGUUAGAGCUGAAGCAUCAUGGAAGGUUUACGGGGAUAGAAAGGAAAAAUGGGAAAGGGGUAGUGGAAAGAAAGGGAGAACUGCUGUGAUUUAGAUGUUGAACAGUUGGACUUCAAAGACUGUGUUAGACACCUCAGGCUCCAUGUACAAUCAGUGGAGAGGAAAAGUAACUCCAGGGAGAUGCUUGUCUCCUUCAGGACAAGAAAUGCCUGUUUCUCUGCUGCCUCUAUGAGACAUCUAGGUAUCCAGCUCCUAGAUAGGGGAAGUUGGCUGGGAUGACCCUGCACGGCCUACUGGCUGUGGCACUUCCUGGAGGCUGCUCCCACCACUGGGAGUUGCCUCAGGGUGGAAUCGCCUCUUCUACUCACCCUGUGGUGACUGCAGGGCAGCAGUGACCGCCAGGGCUGCCUGUGAGGAGGGGAGCUGGCCGCUCAGCUCUUGUCAUGGCCCAGGAGCCCUGACAGACAGCUCGCUUCAGGGCCUUUGGGCUGAAGAGCCCAAAAGGUAGCUGUGGUACUGCGGGACAUGGCUCAGUGGUGGAAGGCAGACGGUCGGACUGGAUGAUCCGUGUGUCUUUUCCAACCUUAAUGAUUCUAUGAAUCUAUGUCACCUGCUGGUGGCACCAAGCCAGAGCUGCCCGUGUCUGUGCCUGGGCAGGAGAAGCAGAAGGUUGGAGACUUACGGAAGCGCCCUUUGCCCUGCCUCAGUCCUACACAAGGACCAGGUUUGCAUUUAACUGCACCUAAGCUGUAGGAAUCCUCACGGCUCGGGAAGCAAAACCCUUUGGCUCUGUAAGCAGACCAAACCCAUCUUCAUUUGCUGCAUGGCCCCUGAUAGCUUUUCCACAUUUCACAUGGGACUGGGCUCUCAAAUGCUUUUUACAAAUUUGACCAACUCCCUUCCAGCAUCUGGCAGGGCUCAUUUUCCCACUGAUACUUCAUUUAUUCCACAUGAGCUUCCCCACCUUUAUUUCAUCGUCGAAUCAUUACGGUUGAAAAGAGCACUAACAUCAUCGAGCCCAACCAUCAAUUUAUUGAGUCCAACCACCAUUUAUUUAUAUUUAUGUUCUUUUGCUUUUUUUUUUCAUCCCAGCAGGGAGGCGAGCAAGUGGAAGUGCAUCCCAUGUAACGUCUGGGAACGGCCUCGCAGGGCUUUGGCACCUUGUGCAGGAAUGAGCACAUGCAGGUAGAAUGCGAUGGCUCCCGCUGAGCACGGCUGUGCUGAAUCCUACAGCCCAGCAAAGAGCAGCUGGUUAAGGUGGAAUUUGAAAAUCAGUCACAAGAUAAACAGGUUGCAACGUUAAGCGCUCUCCAAGGGAAAAGCAGCGUGCAGCAUAUGUUCUUACUUUGGAAGAUAUUUAAGAAAGGGAAAAAAAAUAUCACAACCCUUUAAUAGACCCUUUACUGGCUCGUGCUAGUGGGGCUGUUAAUUAAUUAAAUAACUAUAUGUGAAUGGCAUCCAUUGGGAAAGAGCCUCACGGCUUCCAGAUGCCAGUUAUUGGCCCCAUUAC